Molecule: non-coding RNA, 1845 nt
Organism: Megalopta genalis
Lineage: Eukaryota; Metazoa; Arthropoda; Insecta; Hymenoptera; Halictidae
Source: RefSeq, a predicted model, not a curated record
UUCUGUUAUCUGAAUGCAUUAUAAAUAUUUUAACCUCCUGUAAUGAAAUAUUUAAUAAAAAACGUUACCAACCAAAUCGUUUGCAAUUUUCGAGGGCAUGUUUAGGAUAUGCGCAUCUUUCUAAAUCUAUGUUUAUCAAAUUGGACAAUAUAGCAACUGUGAUUACAAUUAGUAAUAUUCUGAAAUUACUUAUCUUUUAUCUCUUCUAAUAGCUUACAAUGAAAAAACUAUGUGACGCUGUACAAAUUUAUAAAUUCAAAGUUAUAUUGCUAAAGGACAUUAACACGUAAUAUUUGACUUGUUUAAAAACAGCAAUCUGAUUGAACUUAAUGUGAAAUCGUGUAGAAAGAUUCGUGGAAAGAUUUGUAGUUUAAGAAUUAUUCGUAAUCUCUUGAUUUGUACAAAGGAUAUGGCGUAGCAUGAAAUUAACAAAAAAAGAACGUAAUUUUACUUUGUAAAUCCAUUAAUGGAUGUAAUCAUGUUGUAGAAAGGUCGUUAAACCACGCGAAAUACUUUAAUUCCAUUUCCAAUGGAGCUAUAGCUCGAGGCUGUGGACCCAAUUAGCAAAAUCUGCCUGUACAGUAUUUGCGAAUUCGUUAUUAUUAAUUGUUUGCAUUCAACAUUCGCAUGUAAUAUUUGCUACAGAUAGGGAAAGGAAUAAUAUUGAAAUUUUCGAAAUAACACAUAGUCGGCCAGUAACAUUUUAUACAACAAAUUAAUAUUGUUGAUAAUUACACUUCGAUACAUCAAUGCAAAUAAUUGAAAUUUACAAAUCUGUGGACUAGAAAGAGGAAUAGACGCAUAAAAGUACUUAAAAGUGUAGUGACAGAAUGUUCAUAGAAACUAACAAUAAAUUUGAUUGACAUAACGAAGAUGCAGUUCUUUAUUUCGUAAAAUAAAUGAUUUCGUAAAGUCCAAUUUAUAAAUUCUGUUGUACAAUACAAAUACUUUUCCAAUUGCAACUCUUACAUUAUAAAAUUGUUUUCACUCGUAUUGUAUUCACGCAAUUGAUAGUGCGCUAUCGAACAAUUAAUACUGUGACUUUUUAAAGAUCUAAUUUUAUACUGAUAUCGUGCAAGCAACGGUCUCAGCCAUUCGCUUAAAAUAUAUCCAAUGUCGCAAUUAUUAAAUUUCAUUAAUAAGUAUUACUGAAUAGAGUAUUGUGAGUACAAUCGAUCCAUAAGACUCGUUAUGUAACAGUGAGCAUGUAUGGUGCACAGUAAGCAAUACAGAUACCGCAUUAUGGUUCCAUAUGGAAUACAUUCUUCCUGUCACGGUCAGGACAAAUCCUCAUAAAUAAAAACAAUGUAAACUAUGCUUUUUAAUCUUUUCUCGAAAUUUGCAGAUACAGGUAACAGUUUUUCAAAAUAGUACAAAUGGUUCUAAUUCGACCUUUACGUAAUAUUAAUUUUAUUAUUAAGAAAUUGGGACUUCUAUUUUACAACAUUAAAUAAAUAUUACAUUUUAAAUUUGAAUAACAUGUGAUGGCUUGCAAUGAACGUGAUUUGUUUCAGCCGUAAUGGCACCUAAUGGCUACACAUAUGCCUUAUCGACAUUUGUACGGAUGUGGUAUGGUAUUCAAGGAAAUUCGUCAAGUUAUAUUUACACGAAGUCCUGCUUAUGAUGUAGUGUACACAGUAACACUAAUACGAUGGCUGAAAUGUACAGCAGUUUCAGGUCUUAUUCGAUUGUGGUAGAAAAUGGAACAUUAAUUGCUGCAAUUAAAGUGGAACAAACGACAGGAGUACAGCCUAUUGUAUCUGUUAAUUAAAUGUUUGGCAAUUGUUAUCUCUGAAAACUGGACAAGUAACUGCUACAAACAAUAUAUAUUCUAUAUUUUUAUUA